AGAGGUGGCAAGCGUUGUUCGGAAUUACUGGGCGUAAAGGGCGCGCAGGCGGCUCGUCAAGUCCCGUGUGAAAUCCCCCGGCUCAACUGGGGAACUGCGCGGGAAACUAGCGAGCUUGAGUUCGGGAGAGGAAAGCGGAAUUCCGGGUGUAGCGGUGAAAUGCGCAGAUAUCCGGAGGAACACCAGUGGCGAAGGCGGCUUUCUGGACCGACACUGACGCUGAGGCGCGAAAGCUAGGGGAGCGAACGGGGAUUAGAUACCCCGGUAGUCCUAGCCCUAAACGUUGAGCACUGGGUGUAGGGGGUAUGAACCCCCCCCCCUGUGCCGAAGCUAACGCAUUAAGUGCUCCGCCUGGGGAGUACGGUCGCAAGGCUG
This 375-nucleotide ribosomal RNA is filed under the name uncultured organism. RNAcentral describes it as "partial 16S ribosomal RNA". It matches the Rfam family "Bacterial small subunit ribosomal RNA", at positions 527 to 896 of the family's 1533-position model. The record is from RNAcentral.